RNAcentral lists this ribosomal RNA (463 nucleotides) under uncultured bacterium. RNAcentral describes it as "bacterial SSU rRNA". It matches the Rfam family "Bacterial small subunit ribosomal RNA", at positions 28 to 526 of the family's 1533-position model. The record is from RNAcentral.
AACGAACGUUGGCGGCGUGGAUUAGGCAUGCAAGUCGCGCGAAUGCCCGCAAGGGUGGAAGCGGCGUAAGGGGCAGUAAGGCGUGGGGAUCUACCCGGGGGUCGGGAAUAGCCCGUCGAGAGACGGGGUAAUGCCCGAUGAUGUCGUAAGACCAAAGGUCCGCCGCCCCUGGAGGAGCCCACGUGGUAUUAGCUAGUUGGUGGGGUAACGGCCCACCAAGGCGGUGAUGCCUAGCGGGUGUGAGAGCACGACCCGCGCCACUGGCACUGAGACACUGGCCAGACACCUACGGGUGGCUGCAGUCGAGGAUCUUCGGCAAUGGGGGCAACCCUGACCGAGCGACGCCGCGUGGGCGAUGAAGGCCUUCGGGUUGUAAAGCCCUGUCGAGGGGGAGGAAACCUAACGGUUGACCCAUCCCUGGAGGAAGCACGGGCUAAGUUCGUGCCAGCAGCCGCAGUAAAAC